This is an RNA transcript of Salvia miltiorrhiza (redroot sage), 3894 nucleotides long. It is a transcript of the gene named RNA-binding protein 1-like, with no coding region annotated. The transcript has 9 exons. The record is from RefSeq and is a predicted model, not a curated record. NCBI's taxonomy places the organism in Eukaryota, Viridiplantae, Streptophyta, Magnoliopsida, Lamiales, Lamiaceae.
UAUCCUAACCAUGCGAGCCCUAAGAUUGAAGGGAAUUAACCUUAGACAUCUUGUCCUAAUAUACUUCUUACAUUAGCGUAUUUAAACUUAUAUUGACUUGCAUCCCCUGCGAACUAAGGAAAGGGCUGAUUAUUCUCCGUUGCGUUCAAGAGGAAAUUCAGAAUCCAAAACCCUACUUUCCACCAAUUGCAUAAAGAUUUUGAAAACAAAUAUGGCGGAUGCUUAUUGGAGGUACGGCGACGGUAGGCAGCAGGCGGCUGCGCUUCCCCCGCACAUGGUGAAACGACCCCGUACUGAUUAUGAGAUGCCUAGUGGACCUGACAUGUCCAGCUACUAUGCCCGUGACGAGGACAGGGCGGGACUGCGUGUUGUUAGAGAUACGGACACCAUUAAUGCAUCAUAUGAUCGAUACCUUCGCAGUGCGCAAAUGCCAUCAUACGCCAGUGAGUCUGGACGAUCUAUGAGCAGUGGACUCGGUGGACAUCAUCAUGUUGACGAUCCACGUGUGUUAGGAAUGGGAGGUUCAGAUGCAGCAGCAGCUGCAAAAAGCCGAUCUAUGGGAGGACGGCCUGAAAUUCCUCUUCCUCCUGAUGCUAGCAGCACUUUGUUUGUGGAGGGCUUGCCUGCGAAUUGCACUCGCAGGGAAGUUUCUCAUAUAUUUCGCCCAUUUGUAGGCUAUAAGGAAGUAAGGCUUGUAACUAAAGAAUCAAGACACUCUGGUGGUGAUCCCCUGGUGCUUUGCUUUGUUGAUUUUCAGAGUCCAGCUCAUGCAGCCACGGCAAUGGAUGCUUUACAAGACUGCUGCAAGAUGAAGUUAGCAGCUUGAUGAUUGGAACUAUUGCGCCAGCUUCCUCGAGCACCUUGCAGCCAUUUUGCAGUUGCACACCUUCAAUCAAAGUCAAGAUUGCAUCCAACGAAGCUUCACAAGCCGAGGCAUCUUGUUCCCCGAGUAGCAUCACGAGUGGCCUCACAGCACCUGCCUCCAGAAGGCAGAAUGAUGUCUCGGUGCUGCAAAUGCCCAAGUGGACAGCACAGAUACCUUCAGAAGGUGCAAAGCAGCAGCUGAGGAGACUAUUGGUUUUCACUGGUAUGGUCAGUUUGCUAGAACUUUCUGAUAGCUGCUUUAGUGAAAUGGCUGCGUUUCUUUUCGUAGGAGGGGCUCCAGAGGCUAGCAGUUUCACUAGAACAGGAAUGAUGCCUGCUUCAGCCACUCUCUUCUGCUGUUCAAGAUUUGAGGUGGCUGUAAAACGGCAAAGGGCUUCAGCAGCAUUUUCGACCACCUCUUUUUCGUUUUUGAGACAGUCGAAGAUGACUUCAAGUGCACCACACUGUGAAAGGUCCUGAGACAUCUGAGAAUUGUGCGGGAGGCGAGAGAUUAUGCCCAUGGCAGCAGCUUUCUCAUCUUCACUAUCAGAAGUCUUGAUGAUUCUGAUCAGUGUUGUGAUGCACCUCCUGUUCACAUGUUCCUCGAAAGUCUGAUGAUCGCCAUCUUCUGUCAGAUAACAGAGCAGUUUCACAGCAUUUGCCCUCACAGCAAGGUCGUCAAGCUCGCAUAAAUGGACCAGUAUUUUUACAGCAGAGAUCUGUUGAAUAACAAUAUGAAACGAAGAUAUGCUAUCAGCAAUUCAGCAUCACACAUUGGCUUCUAAUAUUUCAUGUGGAAAAAGGGAAAACAGACUAUGUUGAUUUGAAAGAUGAAUUUGCUGAAGAAACAGUAGUUUUCAAAACUGGAAGUCUACCUGUCUCAACUCCCUCCUGACGUCCAAACCAGAAGGCGAUCUGCACAGGGCAUGGAAGGUGAGGAGAAGUGUUUCCUGCAUUUCAGGCCCGGUAUAUGAAACGAGAGAGAAUAGCUUGAAAAUAUCUUCUUCAGUUUCCAUAAGUCGAAUCUGAUCCUCAGAAGCUUCCAUGGAUGCUGUGGACAUUGCCAAAUGCAUGAUUGUCUUUGCCACAUGUAGGCGCAGUUUGGAUGCCGCGUGGCAAAAGAGCAGUUCAAACAGCGGGGUUUUGGCUCCUUGCUUGAUCAGUUGCAGGCCAUUCGGUGCCACACCUGAUAGGUUCUCUAGAGCUCUAACGGCUGCUGAUUUAACCUCUAUAUCGUCAAGCUCAAGCAUCUGAAGAAGAGCCUUUAGUGCUCCACCUCUAGAAAGACACUGCUUGUCGUGAUCAGUCAGCUCAAGAUCGGCUAAUGUAUCUGCCAUGAUUACUUGUAGCACGACUGUACCUUCAAAAAGACGCUGCAACAGAGGCCCAAAGAAUUUCGCCCUUGCCAUCCGCACGACGUUCUGAUCAAGAAAAGCAAGAGUGUCGAGAAGCUCUUGGGCGUAUUUUGAAGCUUGAGCAUCAUCACUGUUUGCUAAAGUGACGAGAAGAAGUAUGCCGCCCUGCGCGUCUCCAAUGAGAUUCCUUACAUUCACAAUUCUCGAAAGUUCCAAGAUCAACUGCAGUGCCAACAUGCUUUCUUCAACUUUACGUGCAAGCGAGUAAACAACGUACGUGAUGCUGUCUUUAACAUUAGCAAUGGCCUCCUGACACAAGGAACACAGAAUGGCUAAAGCAUGCAAUCUGAUCUCACUGUUUUUAGCAUGAAGAAGAGCUGUAACUAUCGGUUUCAUGGAAGCAAUAGUGAUCAUGAUGUUCCUGUUCUUCCACUCCUCAAUGGACUGUCGGAGAGUUCUAUUGGGGCGUACAGACAGUUUGGUCAAGGGGGUCUUAGUCAAGGGACACAAGCCAUUCCCCAAAGCUAACCACUUCUCGAUGGCCUCUCUCUCAAACGUAUAACCCGAUGAUGUCUCUACUGGAUCCCUCAUGAUAUCCGCAGUGAUGGGACAGUAAAAUGAUUGGAGAGGCUCCAGCAGCUGUCUCCCCAGUGAGUUACGUUUGGUGAAGUACUUCAUCUCCUUCUCCUUUGGAGUAGUAACCACAUCUGCAUUUUCGAGCAGUAGAAUGAUCUGCUCCAUUCGAAGCGCCUCGUUUCUUGACUGUAUAUCAUUCUUGAAAUUCUCAAACUCCUCCUUCAGAUCAUUCUCUUGAGAUGGAAUCCCCAAAGAUUCAGCAAUGAGAAGGAGCAGAUUGCUUGCAAAAGAUCGGUCAGUAGUCCUGUCUUGUACACCGGUUUCAAUCUUGUGCAGUAUCUCCUCCUCCAUGGGAGAGAGGUGAUACUGAGCUUCUUCCAUAUUCUUGCACAGAUUCAGAAGCCAUUGAUUCGUCUGGGGCGAGACAUCCAAGGAUGCCAACGGGAAGAGCGCCAUAGCCCUACUCAUGCUCUUGCUCGUGCUCUCCAUCUUCUCCACAAUCUUCUUGCCGCUCAAGAGGAGGUAAAUCUUGUUGCCAUUGCUGCACUCUGCAGCCAGUUGCUUAGCUGCUUCGACUUCCGAUUGAAGGCCCUCGAGAGCCCGGUUCACGCUCUCGGAGUUCUUCACUUUGAAUUUGGAGAGCUCUUGCAGGAAGAUGGCCGUUUUCUCGAGUGAAGCUGAGAAUUUCUUGAAAUUCUCCUUGUGCACCAAGGCUUGUCUUGCCAAGGCUACUGCUUGAAGCAUGGAUUCAGCUGUGUCGACGAGAGACCUGUGGUUUUCCAUACCACUAUUCACUUUCUGAGCAUCAAACCUCUAGAGGAUUGAAUUAUGGCUGUCACUGAAAAAUCAACAACAGCAAAAUAGAAAGAGACCAAGAAAUUGUUGCAAAAAUUUGUACCUCUCUUGGAUCAGAGUCGAUGGUGGCAAUUGGAAUUUCUGUAUGGCUGAAAUUUGCGUACGCGGUUUUGGAGAAAAGUGUGUUUUUUCUUUGUUUUUGGAAAUUUAUGUUUUGAAGAAGCUCUGUGAUCAGUAGUAUUGACAUCUGAAUUCUCAAGUAUGGGAGUCAACGUUUGAGUCAAUGGUGACGAUUUUUCAUGUC